UGGCUCAGACCGUAGAGAAUCUGCCUGCAAUGCAGGAAACCCAGGUUCAAACCCUGG
Molecule: transfer RNA, 57 nt
Filed under: Bos taurus (domestic cattle)
Lineage: Eukaryota; Metazoa; Chordata; Mammalia; Artiodactyla; Bovidae
Also listed under: 5 other names
Rfam family: tRNA
About the family: Transfer RNA (tRNA) molecules are approximately 80 nucleotides in length. Their secondary structure includes four short double-helical elements and three loops (D, anti-codon, and T loops).
Source: Rfam by way of RNAcentral